UACGUAGGGGGCUAGCGUUGUCCGGAUUUAUUGGGCGUAAAGAGCGUGUAGGCGGCCAUGUAGGUCCGUUGUGAAAACUCGAGGCUCAACCUCGAGACGCCGAUGGAAACCAUGUGGCUAGAGUCCGGAAGAGGAGAGUGGAAUUCCUGGUGUAGCGGUGAAAUGCGCAGAUAUCAGGAAGAACACCCGUGGCUAAGGCGGCUCUCUAGUACAGUACUGACGCUGAGACGCGAAAGCGUGGGGAGCGAACAGG
RNAcentral lists this ribosomal RNA (253 nucleotides) under uncultured bacterium. RNAcentral describes it as "partial 16S ribosomal RNA". It matches the Rfam family "Bacterial small subunit ribosomal RNA", at positions 524 to 776 of the family's 1533-position model. The record is from RNAcentral.